CUCCGAAGGCAGACAGAGCAGCAUGGAUGCUAUUACAGUGUUCCAGAAGAUGUCUACAUGAUAAGGAAAGAACAUCUAUGGAUGAGAAAGAGAGAGGAAACAAACCAGAUCUGGGACUGUGGUAUGGCUUGAUGGCCCUGGACUACCUAAUUUUUCCAGUGGUGUCCUGGAAUAUCUCUAUUGGAC
This 186-nucleotide long non-coding RNA is filed under the name Mustela putorius furo (domestic ferret). RNAcentral's name for it is "lncRNA (ENSMPUG00000027845.1)". The record is from RNAcentral. Lineage: Eukaryota; Metazoa; Chordata; Mammalia; Carnivora; Mustelidae.